GACGAACGCUGGCGGCGUGCUUAACACAUGCAAGUCGAACGGAAAGGCCCUGCUUGUGUGGGGUGCUCGAGGGGCGAACGGGUGAGUAACACGUGAGUAACCUGCCCUUGACUUUGGGAUAACUUCAGGAAAGUGGGGCUAAUACCGGAUAGGAGCUCCUGCUGCAUGGUGGGGGUUGGAAAGUUUAGGCGGUUGGGGAUGGACUCGCGGGUUAACAGCUUGUUGGUGGGGUAGUGGCUUACCAAGGCGUUGACGGGUAGCCGGCAUGAGAGGGUGACCGGCCACAUUGGGCCUGAGAUACGGACCAGACUCCUACGGGGGGCAGCAGUGGGGAAUAUUGCACAAUGGUCGGGAGCCUGAUGCAGCAACGCCGCGUGCGGGAUGACGGCCUUCGGGUUGUAAACCGCUUUCGCCUGUGACGAAGCGUGAGUGACGGUAAUGGGUAAAGAAGCACCGGCUAACUACGUG
Molecule: ribosomal RNA, 468 nt
Filed under: uncultured bacterium
Lineage: Bacteria
Description: partial 16S ribosomal RNA
Rfam family: Bacterial small subunit ribosomal RNA
Source: RNAcentral